GUUAAAACACACACAAUUAAUUAUUUUAAUUAAUAUAUUUAAUAUUAAUUAUUAUAAAAAAAUAUUUUCAGUAUAAAUUUCAAUGCAAACAUUAUAUUUUUAAACUAGUGCAGUAAAGGCAGCGCCACACAUCUGCUGUUUCUGCAGGUAGUGGAGUAUUGUCUAUGUCUCUCUGUGUUUCUAAAGGCCUCUAUAUAACCGGAUGGCAUUUGCAUAUGCAGAACGUUCCAUGCCUCCGCUCGUUGCCGCGGUUUGCCGACACAUAGGAGAAUCCACCCUUGCUCCCACCCCCUUCAUUAAUAUGUAUGUGUUCUGAACGGUGCGUGGUUGCUGAUUAAUGCUGUCUGUCAAUUUCUUACAGAUCCGACAGUGCUGUGGAAGUUCCCUCAGGACUUUGGAGACCAGUGUGAUGUUGCUGAUAAUGAAAUGCAGUGAGCAGGUCUUCAAUAAGCGUUGUUCUGGUAAUUAUCAGCUGGCUGUGAUGUGAAUGGGUGCGGAUGGAGCUUCAUCGUACACCCACUGCUGUACCUCACACCAGUACAGCUGUGUGUCGCUCAUGAGCUGGUACUAUAUCACACUAGUAAUGCAUAAUAGAGAGUAAUAUACCAGCCUAAACAGUCAAUAUUUGGCUGUUUUGAGAUGAUCACUUCACAUUCUACCUUGUGUCUACACCAAAAUGUAGUUUUUAAAUGUUUUUUUUUUUUUAGAUAUUAAUUAAAAAAAAAAUUAUUUAGAAUUUUUUUUAAAAAUAAUUUAGUGAUAUUAAUAUUUUGUCUAAAGGUAUUUUUUUAUUUUAUUUUAAAAUAAAUGUAUUAAAAAUCGAACA
Molecule: long non-coding RNA, 826 nt
Organism: Cyprinus carpio (common carp)
Lineage: Eukaryota; Metazoa; Chordata; Actinopteri; Cypriniformes; Cyprinidae
Source: Ensembl